GACGAACGCUGGCGGCGUGCUUAACACAUGCAAGUCGAACGGAAAGGCCCUGCUUUUGUGGGGUGCUCGAGUGGCGAACGGGUGAGUAACACGUGAGUAACCUGCCCUUGACUUUGGGAUAACUUCAGGAAACUGGGGCUAAUACCGGAUAGGAGCUCCUGCUGCAUGGUGGGGGUUGGAAAGUUUCGGCGGUUGGGGAUGGACUCGCGGCUUAUCAGCUUGUUGGUUGGGUAGUGGCUUACCCAGCCUUUGACGGGUAGCCGGCAUGGGAGGGUGACCGGCGUCCUGACGACUGCGGUAGGGCCCAGACUGCUACGGGAGGCAGCAGGGGGGAAUAUGGCACAAUGGGGGGAAGCCUGAGGCGGCAACGCCGCGUGCGUGAUGACGGCCUUCGGGUUGUAAACCGCUUUCGCCUGUGACGAAGCGGUAGUGACGGUAAUGGGUAAAGAAGCACCGGCUAACUACGUG
Molecule: ribosomal RNA, 468 nt
Filed under: uncultured bacterium
Lineage: Bacteria
Description: partial 16S ribosomal RNA
Rfam family: Bacterial small subunit ribosomal RNA
Source: RNAcentral